Molecule: long non-coding RNA, 2513 nt
Filed under: Equus caballus (horse)
Lineage: Eukaryota; Metazoa; Chordata; Mammalia; Perissodactyla; Equidae
Description: lncRNA (ENSECAG00000050860.1)
Source: RNAcentral
GUUCUGAAAGCAUCCUGUAGGCGGGUAGGAAGUAGGAUGCAGGGGAGGAUGAACAAGCUUAACUGAUGCAUAGCGAUCGUCCCUGUAGCUAUCUUGUGAAUGAAUUACACUUUGCCCUCCUCUCACCUUCCUUUUCAAGGGCAGUUUUUGACCAAGAGGCAGACUCAUAAGACUUUUCAAAAUCUUUUCAGUGCUUCAUUUCAGUAGCAGCAGAGGUUUCUUGGACAGUUGUUGCCAUUGCUUGCUUUUCUCAUCCUUUUUUGUAGCUUUAACUUGAUUUCUUUGGAGAACUAUUUCCUGUCAUUUCAAAUGGUUGUGGUGGAAUCAGUUACCAAGGUCCAAACCUCUCUUGGUCAAGAGGUGGGCAUAGGACCUAAGCUCAGUCAAUCAGACUCUUCCUGAAAUUUGGAUAUUUAAUGAAGUGGUACAAGGAGAGGAAAUGGUUGAAUAUGACUUAUUCCAAUCAUGGGGCCCUGAGAAGACUCUCCGUGAUCUAGCUCCCUCUAUUACCAGAAAUAUGUUGGUCCCUGAACAUCCCAAGGUUUGGUUUUUCAGAUUUUCUUUCAGUUCUGUGGGUUGCUUCAUCUAUGUAUUUCCAUAAAAUUAUCUAGGUUAAAAGUGACCAAGGAUUAUUUUUCAUCAGUGGCAAUCAAAUAUCACUAAUUUGUUUUCUUAGAGAUUGUUCAAAAUCUUAAAAAACAAAACAAAGCAAUACAUCUCAAAUCUGGCUUUCAAUAAGGCACCAACAAUUUCUGCCUUCAAAAGAACACUUCUUUCAUAAUGAGCGCAUGUGGAUGUUCCCAUGAAGACACAGUGGAUCAUUGAGUGACAGACUCGGGGAGGUUUUGAACUUGAAAAGCAACAUGUUGUGACUUGGAAAUGUCCUAAUCAGAUGUCUCGUCGAUCUGCUGCCCAGGUGAGGGGAGUGGAGUCGGAAGAGAGCCUCCAGCUGUUGCUUCCUUCAGGAUCAGAAGCUGCAGAGAAGAACCUUAAGCAAGGCCAUGUACUCCCAGGGCAGCCACAUCCUCUGACUGAGGGAGGCAGAGGCACAAAGGCCCAGCUGUUCCUCUCCAAAGGGGAUGCCCGAUGGGCCACACUAGCUCCAUCACUCCUCGCUGAAUUGGCCAAGGCUUUGUUUCCCUUUUUCCUCUGCUCAAUACUGCUUCUUUCCCUCGCAUCCUGCUUUUUCACAUGUGCUGAUCCCUAAUAAACAUCUUGUACUUCAAACUUGGGCUAAUUGUUUGCUGCCAGAGAACGUGAUCUAAGACACUAUUUCUUUCUGUCCAUAUUGCUCUUUGUUCAGAUUAGUUCAGAAUAUAUUUGGAACCAAGGACAGAUCCUCUAUUUAUAUUAAAUGUGAUUUUAAAAAUAUUGAACCACAAAAUAUUGAAUUCCAGUUUGUCAGGAUCAUUUUGGAUAUAAUUUUACCCUCCUAGGCAUUUGCUUCACCCAGAUUUGUGUCAUCUUAACAUACGAUUACCAGCAACUAUUUCCCAAAGUUUUUGGUAAAAUGUUAACCAAGUCGUUUUUGAAGAUGAGUCCUAUUCACUAGUCUGGACUAACACAUGUCAAUUAAUUAGUGUUUACUGGUUAUGAUUAUUCAGUUAAGAAUUGUUUUAUUCUAUUUUGAUAUUGCCAGAGUAACAUUAAAGAGAUUAUUACUCCUAAAUAAUUUUUUAUUGCAAUAUAAAUUAUAUACGGAAAGGUGCACAAAACCUAAGUCUAAGAUUAACGUGUGGGCGCACUCCUGUGCCCGCCAUGUCAAUCAGGAAUUGGAAUAUUACUAGCAGCUCAAAAGCCCUUCAAACCCCUAACAUGAUCCUCUUUCCUAAAAGUAGCUGUGUUCCUAGCUUUAACAUCAUAGGUUAUUUUGAUUUUAUUUUAGUACUUUUAUGUAAAUUGAAUGUUAUGGCUGAUAGUCCUUUGUGUGUCUGAGAUUAUUCAUGGAAUGUUAUGUUUGUGAGAUUGAUAAAUAUUAUUGUGUACAGUAGUACUACAUUGAUUUUUAUUGCUGUAUAGUAUCCCAUUUUGUGAACAGAGCUCAAUUUGUUCAUCCAUUCUAGCAUAGAUGGACAAUUUUCUAGUUUUUGAUUGUUUCAAAAUGUUGCCUUGAAUAUUUUUACAUUUUUGGGGUACCUAUGUUGGGUUCCUGUGGUCUGUAUACAUAAGAAUGCAAUUGACGGGUCCUGGGAUAUAUCCAUAUUUCUCUUUGACAGAUAUCACCAGUUUUCCAAAGAAGUUGUACAAUUUUGUACUUCCACCUACAGCAUAUAAGCAUUCCAGCUGCUCCAUGUCCUCCCCAACACGUUGUAUGUUCAUAAUCUAUUUCACUUGCCUUUCAUUAACAGUUAGUGAAAUAGAGCACAGGGGUAUUGAUCUCUUGGAUUUCCUCUUCUGUGAGGUUCUUCUAAAUAUCCUUUAUGAUUUUUUUAGACUAGACUGUUUUUCCCUAUUGAUCACCAGCAAAUUUUACAUGACUUGGAUACAAGCAGUUGGUUGGUUAUACAUAUGAA